GGGGGGCAGCAGUAGGGAAUCUUCGGCAAUGGACGAAAGUCUGACCGAGCAACGCCGCGUGAGUGAAGAAGGUUUUCGGAUCGUAAAACUCUGUUGUUAGAGAAGAACAAGGACGUUAGUAACUGAACGUCCCCUGACGGUAUCUAACCAGAAAGCCACGGCUAACUACGUGCCAGCAGCCGCGGUAAUACGUAGGUGGCAAGCGUUGUCCGGAUUUAUUGGGCGUAAAGCGAGCGCAGGCGGUUUCUUAAGUCUGAUGUGAAAGCCCCCGGCUCAACCGGGGAGGGUCAUUGGAAACUGGGAGACUUGAGUGCAGAAGAGGAGAGUGGAAUUCCAUGUGUAGCGGUGAAAUGCGUAGAUAUAUGGAGGAACACCAGUGGCGAAGGCGGCUCUCUGGUCUGUAACUGACGCUGAGGCUCGAAAGCGUGGGGAGCAAACAGGAUUAGAUACCCUGGUAGUCCACGCCGUAAACGAUGAGUGCUAAGUGUUGGAGGGUUUCCGCCCUUCAGUGCUGCAGCAAACGCAUAAGCACUCCGCCUGGG
RNAcentral lists this ribosomal RNA (542 nucleotides) under Enterococcus faecalis. Its description in RNAcentral is "bacterial SSU rRNA". It matches the Rfam family "Bacterial small subunit ribosomal RNA", at positions 343 to 877 of the family's 1533-position model. The record is from RNAcentral. Lineage: Bacteria; Bacillati; Bacillota; Bacilli; Lactobacillales; Enterococcaceae.